GGAGAGGUGGCAGAGCCUGGCUGAACGCGCCGCACUCGAAAUGCGGUUUACCCUAUGGGUAACGGGGGUUCGAAUCCCUCCCUCUCCG
Molecule: transfer RNA, 88 nt
Filed under: Planctomycetia bacterium
Lineage: Bacteria; Pseudomonadati; Planctomycetota; Planctomycetia
Description: tRNA-Ser
Rfam family: tRNA
About the family: Transfer RNA (tRNA) molecules are approximately 80 nucleotides in length. Their secondary structure includes four short double-helical elements and three loops (D, anti-codon, and T loops). Further hydrogen bonds mediate the characteristic L-shaped molecular structure. tRNAs have two regions of fundamental functional importance: the anti-codon, which is responsible for specific mRNA codon recognition, and the 3' end, to which the tRNAs corresponding amino acid is attached (by aminoacyl-tRNA synthetases). tRNAs cope with the degeneracy of the genetic code in two manners: having more than one tRNA (with a specific anti-codon) for a particular amino acid; and 'wobble' base-pairing, i.e. permitting non-standard base-pairing at the 3rd anti-codon position.
Source: RNAcentral